UACGGAGGGAGCUAGCGUUGUUCGGAAUUACUGGGCGUAAAGCGCGCGUAGGCGGCUUUGUAAGUUAGAGGUGAAAGCCCGGGGCUCAACCCCGGAAUUGCCUUUAAGACUGCAUCGCUUGAAUCCGGGAGAGGUGAGUGGAAUUCCGAGUGUAGAGGUGAAAUUCGUAGAUAUUCGGAAGAACACCAGUGGCGAAGGCGGCUCACUGGACCGGCAUUGACGCUGAUGUGCGAAAGCGUGGGGAGCAAACAGG
Molecule: ribosomal RNA, 253 nt
Filed under: uncultured bacterium
Lineage: Bacteria
Description: partial 16S ribosomal RNA
Rfam family: Bacterial small subunit ribosomal RNA
Source: RNAcentral